UUGACCUCGGAUCAGGUAGGGAUACCCGCUGAACUUAAGCAUAUCAAUAAGCGGAGGAAAAGAAACCAACAGGGAUUGCCCUAGUAACGGCGAGUGAAGCGGCAACAGCUCAAAUUUGAAAUCUGGCUCUUUCAGAGUCCGAGUUGUAAUUUGCAGAGGGCGCUUUGGCUUUGGCAGCGGUCCAAGUUCCUUGGAACAGGACGUCACAGAGGGUGAGAAUCCCGUACGUGGUCGCUAGCUAUUGCCGUGUAAAGCCCCUUCGACGAGUCGAGUUGUUUGGGAAUGCAGCUCUAAAUGGGAGGUAAAUUUCUUCUAAAGCUAAAUAUUGGCCAGAGACCGAUAGCGCACAAGUAGAGUGAUCGAAAGAUGAAAAGCACUUUGGAAAGAGAGUCAAACAGCACGUGAAAUUGUUGAAAGGGAAGCGCUUGCAGCCAGACUUGCUUGCAGUUGCUCAUCCGGGCUUUUGCCCGGUGCACUCUUCUGUAGGCAGGCCAGCAUCAGUUUGGGCGGUGGGAUAAAGGUCUCUGUCACGUACCUCUCUUCGGGGAGGCCUUAUAGGGGAGACGACAUACCACCAGCCUAGACUGAGGUCC
This 593-nucleotide ribosomal RNA is filed under the name Bipolaris zeicola. RNAcentral describes it as "eukaryotic LSU rRNA". It matches the Rfam family "Eukaryotic large subunit ribosomal RNA", at positions 1 to 597 of the family's 3401-position model. The record is from RNAcentral. Lineage: Eukaryota; Fungi; Ascomycota; Dothideomycetes; Pleosporales; Pleosporaceae.